This 86-nucleotide transfer RNA is filed under the name Microbacterium sediminis. RNAcentral's name for it is "tRNA-Leu". It matches the Rfam family "tRNA". From Rfam's summary of the family: Transfer RNA (tRNA) molecules are approximately 80 nucleotides in length. Their secondary structure includes four short double-helical elements and three loops (D, anti-codon, and T loops). Lineage: Bacteria; Bacillati; Actinomycetota; Actinomycetes; Micrococcales; Microbacteriaceae. The record is from RNAcentral.
GCCGGCGUGGCGGAAUGGCAGACGCGGCGCACUCAAAAUGCGCUGUCCUCACGGGCGUGCGGGUUCGAGUCCCGCCGCCGGCACGA